UGGGGAAUUUUGGACAAUGGGCGAAAGCCUGAUCCAGCAAUGCCGCGUGUGUGAAGAAGGCCUUCGGGUUGUAAAGCACUUUUGUCCGGAAAGAAAUCCUUGGCUCUAAUACAGUCGGGGGAUGACGGUACCGGAAGAAUAAGCACUGGCUAACUACGUGCCAGCAGCCGCGGUAAUACGUAGGGUGCAAGCGUUAAUCGGAAUUACUGGGCGUAAAGCGUGCGCAGGCGGUUUGCUAAGACCGAUGUGAAAUCCCCGGGCUCAACCUGGGAACUGCAUUGGUGACUGGCAGGCUAGAGUAUGGCAGAGGGGGGUAGAAUUCCACGUGUAGCAGUGAAAUGCGUAGAGAUGUGGAGGAAUACCGAUGGCGAAGGCAGCCCCCUGGGCCAAUACUGACGCUCAUGCACGAAAGCGUGGGGAGCAAACAGGAUUAGAUACCCUGGUAGUCCACGCCCUAAACGAUGUCAACUAGUUGUUGGGGAUUCAUUUUCCUUAGUAACGUAGCUAACGCGUGAAGUUGACCGCCUGGGGAGUACGGUCGCAAGGUUGAAACUCAAAUGAAUUGA
This 566-nucleotide ribosomal RNA is filed under the name uncultured bacterium. RNAcentral describes it as "partial 16S ribosomal RNA". It matches the Rfam family "Bacterial small subunit ribosomal RNA", at positions 355 to 913 of the family's 1533-position model. The record is from RNAcentral.